This 495-nucleotide ribosomal RNA is filed under the name uncultured bacterium. RNAcentral describes it as "partial 16S ribosomal RNA". It matches the Rfam family "Bacterial small subunit ribosomal RNA", at positions 30 to 507 of the family's 1533-position model. The record is from RNAcentral.
UGACCGCUGGCGGCGUGCCUACUACAUGCACGUCGAGCGACCAGAUAAGGAGCUUGCUCCUUUGACGUUAGCGGCGGACGGGUGAGUAACACGUGGAUAACCUACCUAUAAGACUGGGAUAACUUCGGGAAACCGGAGCUAAUACCGGAUAACAUAUUGAACCGCAUGGUUCAAUAGUGAAAGGCGGCUUUGCUGUCACUUAUAGAUGGAUCCGCGCCGUAUUAGCUAGUUGGUAAGGUAACGGCUUACCAAGGCAACGAUACGUAGCCGACCUGAGAGGGUGAUCGGCCACACUGGAACUGAGACACGGUCCAGACUCCUACGGGAGGCAGCAGUAGGGAAUCUUCCGCAAUGGGCGAAAGCCUGACGGAGCAACGCCGCGUGAGUGAUGAAGGUCUUCGGAUCGUAAAACUCUGUUAUCAGGGAAGAACAAAUGUGUAAGUAACUGUGCACAUCUUGACGGUACCUGAUCAGAAAGCCACGGCUAACUACGUG